RNAcentral lists this ribosomal RNA (255 nucleotides) under Triticum aestivum (bread wheat). RNAcentral describes it as "partial small subunit ribosomal RNA". The record is from RNAcentral. Lineage: Eukaryota; Viridiplantae; Streptophyta; Magnoliopsida; Poales; Poaceae.
AUGGAGGUUCUGCUCAGGCAACCCUGCACUGCUUGCAGCCGACGCCAUGGAGGUAUCCAAACCUCAGAGGACUACAUGUUCUAUGCCAUCUCGGCGGAGUACCCUGAGUUCAGCAACAAGGAGAAGACACUCGUGCUGCAGUUCACGGUGAAGCAUGAGCAAAAGCUUGUCUGCGGUGGUGGUUACAUCAAGUUGCUCGGAGGUGAUGUUGACCAGAAGAAAUUUGGUCAUGUUAUAUUUAUUAGAAUAUACUGA